Molecule: ribosomal RNA, 463 nt
Filed under: uncultured bacterium
Lineage: Bacteria
Description: bacterial SSU rRNA
Rfam family: Bacterial small subunit ribosomal RNA
Source: RNAcentral
AACGAACGCUGGCGGCAGGCCUAACACAUGCAAGUCGAACGCCGUAGCGAUACGGAGUGGCAGACGGGUGAGUAACGCGUGGGAACAUACCCCUCGGUUCGGAAUAACUCAGGGAAACUUGAGCUAAUACCGGAUACGUCCAAGGUUUUAAUCGACCUUGGAGAAAGAUUUAUCGCCGGAGGAUUGGCCCGCGUCUGAUUAGCUUGUUGGUGAGGUAAUGGCUCACCAAGGCGACGANCAGUAGCUGGUCUGAGAGGAUGAUCAGCCACAUUGGGACUGAGACACGGCCCAAACUCCUACGGGAGGCAGCAGUGGGGAAUAUUGGACAAUGGGCGAAAGCCUGAUCCAGCCAUGCCGCGUGAGUGAUGAAGGCCUUAGGGUUGUAAAGCUCUUUACCCGGGAAGAUAAUGACGGUACCGGGAGAAUAAGCCCCGGCUAACUUCGUGCCAGCCGCCGCCGUAAC